This 77-nucleotide transfer RNA is filed under the name Caldivirga maquilingensis IC-167. RNAcentral's name for it is "tRNA-Thr". It matches the Rfam family "tRNA". Rfam says of the family: Transfer RNA (tRNA) molecules are approximately 80 nucleotides in length. Their secondary structure includes four short double-helical elements and three loops (D, anti-codon, and T loops). Further hydrogen bonds mediate the characteristic L-shaped molecular structure. tRNAs have two regions of fundamental functional importance: the anti-codon, which is responsible for specific mRNA codon recognition, and the 3' end, to which the tRNAs corresponding amino acid is attached (by aminoacyl-tRNA synthetases). tRNAs cope with the degeneracy of the genetic code in two manners: having more than one tRNA (with a specific anti-codon) for a particular amino acid; and 'wobble' base-pairing, i.e. permitting non-standard base-pairing at the 3rd anti-codon position. Lineage: Archaea; Thermoproteati; Thermoproteota; Thermoprotei; Thermoproteales; Thermoproteaceae. The record is from RNAcentral.
GCCCCGGUAGCUCAGCCUGGUGGAGCGCCUCACUGGUAAUGAGGAGGUCCCGGGUUCGAAUCCCGGCCGGGGCUUCA